UCUUGUGAUAUCCACCCAUACCAAAGAAAGAGUAAACAAGUGAGUUUGCCUUGAGAGGUCCGCCCAUUUGGAAAAAAAAUGAAGAGGAAAUGGCUUUGUGAAGUUUCCACUCGAGAGGAAAGGAGAAGUUGAGAAGAAAGAAAGAAAAAGAAUCGGCUUGAAAGAAAGAAGAAAAGAAAAAGAAAGAAAGGAGAAAUGAGAAGGGAGAAAGAAGGAAAGCUAAAAGGCAGGCUCGACUUUGGAGGAGUUGGAGAAAAGCUUAGAGGUUUUCCUCCUCAUACAUGCCAUUGUUGGAGCUUAAAGAGACCUUAGUGGUUCGGGUUAGAGAUCCCAAGCAAGAAUUUUCAAGCAUUCAAGAACCAGAUGCAUGCAUGUAGGUGGAUCUUGGAAUGCAUGGUGAUUUUGAACUAGAUAAGCAAUGGGUAAGUGUUUUAGUCUUGAAAUCACAAGUAGACAAAGGAAAUGAGAUGUGUAUUAAUUGUCUAUACUUGUGGCAACAAUAAUGACCAAAGAUGUGAGGAAAUGGUGAACUAUAUGUGGAAUUCAAGCUAAAAUCGAGAGGUAAGCAUGCAAUGUGACUACAUUGUGUUGUGUUGACUUUGGUUGGUUGAAAGUAUGUGGAUUGUAUGUUAAAUGAUUAUGCAUAAUGUGGAUGAAAACUAUGAAAUUAGGUUAAGGAUUUAUUGAUUGAUAUGCUGCCCAUUUUCAAGUAUAAUUAAGUGUAUUGGGUUUGAAUGGUUGCUAGGAAGUGUAUAGGUAAGGAAAAUGUACUGUGGUGGCAUGCCGGAGGAGGUAACAGGUGAUCGGCAAGUAGAAUUAGCUAGAUACGCACCCAAAUCGAUAGUGAUGUAGUGUCCCGCUAUUGUGAAGUGAGUAAGGGGUGUUCGUUUUAAAAUUCCCAUAACUAUAUAUCGAUAUACGUGCUGGUUUACUUUAAAUGCAAUUUGUGGACAGCAUGAGUUGGUAGACUGUUAGGCUUGUGAAUGCCAUGCUUUGAGAAAGGUUUUGUAUAUAUGUAUAUAUUAACUACAUAUGUAAAGGGUUUUGAAACCAGGAAACAAGCGUUUUACUACAAUUUAUGUCAAAAUGUACCUUAUGGUUUGUGUGAUGUGCAUUCAUGAAUAAAUCACAUAUUCACCAUGCUAAUUGAUAUUUUAACCUCAUGCAAAGGCUUUAUAUUAUAAAGUCUUAUAAAGGGGUUUUAUCAUGUUAUCUGUUGAAUAUUUUGGAAGUGGUUUUGAAAUGAGCUUUUGAGAACCCAACUUGAUUUUUAAAUGGUUUUAUCAAACCGGGAGAUUUGAGAGUAGGUCGAAUGUCACAUCGAGAUAAUAUGACACUUGUGCACAAGUUAGAUCUAGAUAAAGAACCUUUGGAUCGCGAAUAGCCUGCUAGAUGUGGCUGGGGCCAUGGUCUGCGAUGUAUAUAUGUGGCUAGGCCACAAGUUAUUAUACGUGGUUACGACCACCUGAUUUCUUCGAUGUCGGCCAAUAUCGUUGAGACUACCAUGGUUGUGGGAAUCCAGUGGAGGAGAACCUCCCAGAUUGUUAUUACGUGGAAGCGGGUCCAUGAGUGAUUUACUAUGAUUACCUACUCAAGAGUGAUGUCUCUUUGGGGUUUUUUUUUUUAACACGAAUUCUUUCGCAUGGUGAGAAUGACAAGUUGUUUCGUAGCUUCGUUGUUUAUACAGUGAUUUUGUUUUUAAACUCUUCGCGGACGAGAUGAUUUACGAACUUGUGUAUAAGUUUUAGUAAUGUUUGAUUCUACGAGAGCAUGCAUGAUUA
Theobroma cacao (cacao) is the source of this 1781-nucleotide non-coding RNA. NCBI's taxonomy places the organism in Eukaryota, Viridiplantae, Streptophyta, Magnoliopsida, Malvales, Malvaceae. The record is from RefSeq and is a predicted model, not a curated record.